This 858-nucleotide ribosomal RNA is filed under the name Triticum aestivum (bread wheat). RNAcentral describes it as "partial small subunit ribosomal RNA". The record is from RNAcentral. Lineage: Eukaryota; Viridiplantae; Streptophyta; Magnoliopsida; Poales; Poaceae.
AUGAUCACGGGCUCGGCGGUGUACCAAGUGGUGGAGGCGAUGGCGCCGCUGUACACGGCGGCGGCGCUGGGCUACGCGUCGGUGCGGUGGCUCAAGGCCUUCUCCGAGGAGCAGUGCGCGGGGAUCAACCGCUUCGUCGCCACCUACGCCAUGCCGGCGCUCAUCUUCGACAUGGUCUCCACCAGCGACCCCUACGCCAUGAACGGCCGCCUCGUGGCCGCCGACACGCUGCAGAAAGGGGUCAUGCUGCUCGGCCUCGUGGCGUGGGCGGUGCGGUCAUCCCUCCGCCGCCGUGAGACAUCCGCCGGCAAUGUUGCGGCCUCGCCGCUGCAGUGGGUGGUGACCGCCUUCUCCAUGGCGCAGCUGCCCAGCACCAUCAUCAUGGGCGUGCCGAUCCUCGGCGCCCUGUACGGGCCCACGUCCAAGGACUUCAUGAAACAGAUCGUCGUGAUGCAACUCUGUGUCUGGUACAACGUCAUCAUCUUCAUGUACGAGUACAUGGCGGCGAAGGAUGGCAGCAUCAAGGUCGGCCCCGCCCCAGCGUCGCCGGAGAAUGUUGGGAGCACGGAGGUCGCGGCCGCACAACCAGGCAUGGCCGUGGCCAGCCAAACAACGUCGACGGCGGUAGUGGGAGAGGUGAGUCCGACUCAUGCUGCAGAUGCCGAGGUCGCGGAGGCAGAGGAUGUCGCGUUGCCGGCACCUCCAUCGAUGAGCCAUGUCGCUUUUGUGACAGGGAAAAAGAUUCUCAAGAUCCCAAACACACAUGCUGCCUUCCUUGGCCUCUUUUGGGCUCUAAUCGCAUUCAAGCAAGUCCCUUCCUUUCAGAGUUCAUUCAUACUCCACUUGGCAGUAGUUUAG